UACGUAGGGGGCAAGCGUUGUCCGGAAUCAUUGGGCGUAAAGAGCGUGUAGGCGGCCAGAUAAGUCCGCUGUGAAAUCUCGAGGCUCAACUUCGAGCUGUCGGUGGAAACUGUCUGGCUAGAGUCCGGAAGAGGAGAAUGGAAUUCCUGGUGUAGCGGUGAAAUGCGUAGAUAUCCGGAGGAACACCGGUGGCGAAGGCGGCUUCCUGGACCGACACUGACGCUGAGGCGCGAAAGCUAGGGGAGCAAACGGG
RNAcentral lists this ribosomal RNA (253 nucleotides) under uncultured bacterium. Its description in RNAcentral is "partial 16S ribosomal RNA". It matches the Rfam family "Bacterial small subunit ribosomal RNA", at positions 524 to 776 of the family's 1533-position model. The record is from RNAcentral.